UACGUAGGGUCCGAGCGUUGUCCGGAGUUAUUGGGCGUAAAGCGCGCGCAGGCGGCGGUGCUGGCCCGGCGUGAAAGCCCCCGGCUCAACCGGGGAGGGUCGUCGGGGACCGCACCGCUUGAGGGCGGUAGGGGCUGGUGGAAUGCCUGGUGUAGUGGUGAAAUGCGUAGAGAUCAGGCGGAACACCCGUGGCGAAGGCGGCCAGCUGGGCCGUCCCUGACGCUGAGGCGCGAAGGCGUGGGGAGCGAACGGG
Molecule: ribosomal RNA, 253 nt
Filed under: uncultured bacterium
Lineage: Bacteria
Description: partial 16S ribosomal RNA
Rfam family: Bacterial small subunit ribosomal RNA
Source: RNAcentral